This 2292-nucleotide ribosomal RNA is filed under the name Clostridioides difficile. Its description in RNAcentral is "bacterial LSU rRNA". It matches the Rfam family "Bacterial large subunit ribosomal RNA", at positions 3 to 2317 of the family's 2925-position model. Lineage: Bacteria; Bacillati; Bacillota; Clostridia; Peptostreptococcales; Peptostreptococcaceae. The record is from RNAcentral.
UCAAGUUAUUAAGGGUGCAGGGCGGAUGCCUUGGCACUAGGAGCCGAUGAAGGACGUGAUAAGCUGCGAUAAGCUUCGGGGAGUUGCACGUAAACUUUGAUCCGAAGAUUUCCGAAUGAGGAAACUCACUUAGAGUAAUGUCUAAGUAUCAUUAAGUGAAUACAUAGCUUAAUGAGGGGAACUCAGGGAACUGAAACAUCUAAGUACCUGAAGGAAGAGAAAGAAAUUCGAUUCCGUAAGUAGCGGCGAGCGAACGCGGAUUAGCCCAAACCAAUAAAGUUUUCUUUAUUGGGGUUGCGGACAUAUCAUAACGAAGAGGUAUCGUAAUUGAAGAGGUUUGGAAAGACCCACCACAGAAGGUAAUAGUCCUGUAUGUUAAACGAGAAGACUUCAGAUAUGAUCCAGAGUACCACGGGACACGUGAAACCCUGUGGGAAGCAGGAGGGACCACCCUCCAAGGCUAAAUACUACCUAGUGACCGAUAGCGUAUAGUACCGUGAGGGAAAGGUGAAAAGAACCCCGGGAGGGGAGUGAAAUAGAACCUGAAACCCUGCACUUACAAGCUGUGGAAGCACAUUUCUUGUGUGACCGCGUACUUUUUGUAGAACGGGCCAACGAGUUACGUUAAGUAGCAAGGUUAAGCACUUAAGGUGCGGAGCCGUAGCGAAAGCGAGUUUUAACUGAGCGUUCAGUUACUUGACGUAGACCCGAAACCGGGCGACCUACCCAUGAGCAGGAUGAAGCGAAAGUAAAAUUUCGUGGAGGUCCGAACCCACGAGCGUUGAAAAGCUCGGGGAUGACUUGUGGGUAGCGGUGAAAUUCCAAUCGAGCCCGGAGAUAGCUGGUUCUCCCCGAAAUAGCUUUAGGGCUAGCCUCAAGGUGAGAGAUACGGAGGUAGAGCACUGAAUGUCCUAGGGGGUAUUGCACCUACCGAAGACUAUUAAACUCCGAAUGCCGUCAUCUUAUACUUGGGAGUCAGACUGUGGGUGAUAAGAUUCAUAGUCGAAAGGGCAACAGCCCAGAUCGUCAGCUAAGGUCCCUAAAUGUAAGUUAAGUGGUAAAGGAUGUGGGAUUGCACAGACAACCAGGAUGUUGGCUUAGAAGCAGCCACUCAUUCAAAGAGUGCGUAAUAGCUCACUGGUCGAGUGAUCCUGCGCCGAAGAUUUCCGGGGCUAAAACUUACUACCGAAGCUACGGCAUCAGUAAUGAUGGGUAGGGGAGCUUCCCAUACGGGUUGAAGCAUGACCGUAAGGACAUGUGGACAGUAUGGGAGUGAGAAUGUUGGCAUGAGUAGCGAGAUGUGGGUGAGAAUCCCACAGGCCGUAAACCCAAGGUUUCCAGGGGAAGGUUCGUCCGCCCUGGGUUAGUCGGGACCUAAGCUGAGGCCGAAAGGCGUAGGUGAUGGACAACAGGUUGAUAUUCCUGUACUACCGAUAACCGUUUGAGAGAAGGGAUGACACAGUAGGAUAAGCUAAGCACACUGUUGGUUAUGUGUGCCCAAGCAUUGAGGCAGUCAAAGUAGGCAAAUCCGCUUUGAUAAUGCUGGGAUGUGAUGGGGAGCGAAAUUUAGUAGCGAAGUAGCUGAUUUCACACUGUCAAGAAAAGUCUCUAUCGAGGUUAAAGGUACCCGUACCGCAAACCGACACAGGUGGGUGAGGAGAGUAUCCUAAGGCCAGCGAGAGAACUGUUGUUAAGGAACUCGGCAAAAUGACCCCGUAACUUAGGGAUAAGGGGUGCCACCAUCAGGUGGCCGCAGAGAAUAGGCCCAAGCGACUGUUUACCAAAAACAUAGGUUUCUGCUAAGUCGCAAGACGAUGUAUAGGAGCUGACGCCUGCCCGGUGCUGGAAGGUUAAGGGGAUCUGUUAGAGCAAUCGAAGCAGUGAACUUAAGCCCCAGUAAACGGCGGCCGUAACUAUAACGGUCCUAAGGUAGCGAAAUUCCUUGUCGGGUAAGUUCCGACCCGCACGAAAGGCGUAACGAUUUGGGCACUGUCUCAACAACAGACUCGGUGAAAUUGUAAUUCCGGUGAAGAUGCCGGAUACCUGCGACAGGACGGAAAGACCCCAUGGAGCUUUACUGUAGCUUGACAUUGGGUCUUGGUACUACAUGUACAGGAUAGGUGGGAGGCUUUGAAACCAGGACGCCAGUUUUGGCGGAGCCAUCCUUGGGAUACCACCCUUGUAGUACUGGGACUCUAACCAUAGGCCAUGAAUCUGGUCUUGGGACACUGUCAGGUGGGCAGUUUGACUGGGGCGGUCGCCUCCCAAAAGGUAACGGAGGCGCUCAAAGGU